Molecule: long non-coding RNA, 381 nt
Filed under: Mytilus galloprovincialis (Mediterranean mussel)
Lineage: Eukaryota; Metazoa; Mollusca; Bivalvia; Mytilida; Mytilidae
Source: RNAcentral
GCCCGUCGUCAUACAUUUAUUGUUAAACUAUUGCGGUGAUUCAGCCAAACAAAUUUGAUUUUUUUCUUUAUUCUUUCUUGUCCGAUACUUAUCAACUGCUAUUAAGUCUUACAGGGUGUAAUUUAUAGGUUGACAUUGGUCUGACCAACAUACAAGUCCUUGUCGUUGGAUGUGCUUGGAAUAAAUCGUUUGCACAUUUUUUGUCUGUGUUCCAAUUUAAAUCAUUAAUGUCUUAAAUCAAAGAAAAUACUUUUUUGCAAAAAUGUGCAAAGUCGUUUUGUUAUUUUCUGUCUCCUAAGGCCAAAAUUUAAAGCUUUUGUUUACUUGAGGCGGACUCCCAAAUGCCAACUUCCGGUCCAUUUUGAAAUUUAAAUAAUAACC